RNAcentral lists this ribosomal RNA (578 nucleotides) under Chaetoceros curvisetus. RNAcentral's name for it is "partial Bacterial small subunit ribosomal RNA". It matches the Rfam family "Bacterial small subunit ribosomal RNA", at positions 493 to 1067 of the family's 1533-position model. Lineage: Eukaryota; Bacillariophyta; Thalassiosirophyceae; Chaetocerotales; Chaetocerotaceae. The record is from RNAcentral.
CCGGCUAACUACGUGCCAGCAGCCGCGGUAAUACGUAGGGUGCGAGCGUUGUCCGGAAUUAUUGGGCGUAAAGGGCUCGUAGGCGGUUUGUCGCGUCGGGAGUGAAAACCUUGGGCUUAACUCAGGGCUUGCUUUCGAUACGGGCAGACUAGAGGUAUGCAGGGGAGAACGGAAUUCCUGGUGUAGCGGUGAAAUGCGCAGAUAUCAGGAGGAACACCGGUGGCGAAGGCGGUUCUCUGGGCAUGAUCUGACGCUGAGGAGCGAAAGUGUGGGGAGCGAACAGGAUUAGAUACCCUGGUAGUCCAUGCCGUAAACGUUGGGCACUAGGUGUGGGGACCAUUCCACGGUUUCCGCGCCGCAGCUAACGCAUUAAGUGCCCCGCCUGGGGAGUACGGCCGCAAGGCUAAAACUCAAAGGAAUUGACGGGGCCCCGCACAAGCGGCGGAGCAUGCGGAUUAAUUCGAUGCAACGCGAAGAACCUUACCUGGGUUUGACAUGGAUCGGGAGUGCUCAGAGAUGGGUGUGCCUCUUUUGGGGUCGGUUCACAGGUGGUGCAUGGCUGUCGUCAGCUCGUGUCG